AGCGGCGGACGGGUGAGUAACGCGUGGGUAACCUGCCUCAUACACAUGGAUAACAUACCGAAAGGUUUGCUAAUACAAGAUGAUAUAAGAGAUUCGCAUGGAUUUCUUAUCAAAGCUCCGGCGGUAUGAGAUGGACCCGCGUCUGAUUAGCUAGUUGGUAAGGUAACGGCUUACCAAGGCGACGAUCAGUAGCCGACCUGAGAGGGUGAUCGGCCACAUUGGAACUGAGACACGGUCCAAACUCCUACGGGAGGCAGCAGUGGGGAAUAUUGCACAAUGGGCGAAAGCCUGAUGCAGCAACGCCGCGUGAGCGAUGAAGGCCUUCGGGUCGUAAAGCUCUGUCCUCAAGGAAGAUAAUGACGGUACUUGAGGAGGAAGCCCCGGCUAACUACGUGCCAGCAGCCGCGGUAAUACGUAGGGGGCUAGCGUUAUCCGGAUUUACUGGGCGUAAAGGGUGCGUAGGUGGUUUCUUAAGUCAGGAGUGAAAGGCUACGGCUCAACCGUAAUAAGCUCUUGAAACUGGGAAACUUGAGUGCAGGAGAGGAAAGUGGAAUUCCUAGUGUAGCGGUGAAAUGCGUAGAUAUUAGGAGGACCACCAGUAGCGAAGGCGGCUUUCUGGACUGUAACUGACACUGAGGCACGAAAGCGUGGGGAGCAAACAGGAUUAGAUACCCUGGUAGUCCACGCCGUAAACGAUGAGUACUAGGUGU
This 710-nucleotide ribosomal RNA is filed under the name uncultured bacterium. RNAcentral's name for it is "bacterial SSU rRNA". It matches the Rfam family "Bacterial small subunit ribosomal RNA", at positions 94 to 823 of the family's 1533-position model. The record is from RNAcentral.